Molecule: unclassified non-coding RNA, 331 nt
Filed under: soil metagenome
Description: partial contains 5.8S ribosomal RNA, internal transcribed spacer 2, and large subunit ribosomal RNA
Rfam family: 5.8S ribosomal RNA (bases 1-120)
Source: RNAcentral
GAUGAAGAACGCAGCGAAAUGCGAUAAGUAAUGUGAAUUGCAGAAUUCAGUGAAUCAUCGAAUCUUUGAACGCACAUUGCGCCCCCUGGUAUUCCGGGGGGCAUGCCUGUUCGAGCGUCAUUUCACCACUCAAGCCUCGCUUGGUAUUGGGCAUCGCGGUCCGCCGCGCGCCUCAAAUCGACCGGCUGGGUCUUCUGUCCCCUAAGCGUUGUGGAAACUAUUCGCUAAAGGGUGUUCGGAAGGCUACGCCGUAAAACAACCCCAUUUCUAAGGUUGACCUCGGAUCAGGUAGGGAUACCCGCUGAACUUAAGCAUAUCAAUAAGCGGAGGA